This 186-nucleotide ribosomal RNA is filed under the name uncultured Staphylococcus sp. RNAcentral's name for it is "partial 16S ribosomal RNA". It matches the Rfam family "Bacterial small subunit ribosomal RNA", at positions 154 to 334 of the family's 1533-position model. The record is from RNAcentral. Lineage: Bacteria; Bacillati; Bacillota; Bacilli; Caryophanales; Staphylococcaceae.
AAACCGGAGCUAAUACCGGAUAAUAUUUUAAACCGCAUGGUUCAAAAGUGAAAGACGGUCUUGCUGUCACUUAUAGAUGGAUCCGCGCUGCAUUAGCUAGUUGGUAAGGUAACGGCUUACCAAGGCAACGAUGCAUAGCCGACCUGAGAGGGUGAUCGGCCACACUGGAACUGAGACACGGUCCAG